UUAAUAAAGGGAGAGCAGGAGAGUGGCGACGAAUUUCCACAUUCCGAACAAGCUUGUCGAAAGGGGAGUGUAGGGAAGGAGCAAGAAUGAGGCACUGGAAGACGGCUGUAGGCGCAUGAUGUUACAAGUUAUUGGAAGAAAUCCCUCCAACCUAGGUUGGGACAGAUGAAGGCGGCGCUUAUUGGUGUCCACCAAAACACCAGCAUGGUGUACCAGCUUUGGCUAGAUUAUGCUCGGAACACCAGAGACUGGGUAAUUAAUAAAAAGAAGAAAUUUAUCUGGCCUACAGUUCUGGAGCCUUGGAAGUCCGAGAUCAAGGGGCUGCAUCUGAUAAAUACCUGGAGUGGGAUUGCUAGAUCACAUGGAAAACACAGAUCCUGGUGCCGAACAUGAGGACAAGACAGGCCGAAGGAGAAAGUGGAAGGAGGGGAUCUUCUCUCUCAGCCUCAUCCUCCUGGGCCUGGAUGCUGGAGAGUCAUGAGGUGCUUCAGAGUACUCUGGGUGAGGAGGGAAAGAUGGUGCCCACCACAUGGAGGCCAGCCUAGGUCUUGUAUGAAACCCGUGAGGGAGCAGGAGCCAGGCCGUGGCCUGCUGACUGCAUCUGCCAG
This 608-nucleotide non-coding RNA is filed under the name Pongo abelii (Sumatran orangutan). The record is from RNAcentral. Lineage: Eukaryota; Metazoa; Chordata; Mammalia; Primates; Hominidae.